GUUCAUGCAAGGACUUGUGUGCAAACACAAAUCUCAUCGCUGUCAGCCUCCAAGGGAGCCAGCAGAGCAGGCUGUGCUCCAGGGUCAGUGCUACAACAGCUCAGGAGGAGUGCACACAGCACUCUGCUGAGAAGCUGUGCCAGAGUAAUUAUUUACAUGUGCUGGCAUAAAGUAAUUACUAAUGGAGCGGAACACCAUGCACAAUUCCUCCAAGCUGUCCCAGAGGAGGCACUGGGAGGUACUGAGCAAAGUGCACUCUCCAUGUACCGAACUUCAGGUUUCCUCCCACCUCAAUCCUCCUCCCUCCUCCCAGGGGAGCAGAGAAGCCUCUGUCAGUGCUUUUGCCUCCAUCCUCUUGCCUAUGCCAGCACACUCCAAGGCUAGGCGGACUGCUGACACAACUAUGCGCACCCAGACCGACUUCCUAAAGCCCUGAAGAACAUCACACCUUCCACAGUGUAUCUUCAGCUUCUCCAUCAGGUGUAUGACUUGAUUCACCUCUAGAAAAUCCAGUUCCCAGGUUCUGUGGUUGCUAUCCCUGGGAUCACUUGUCUGGGGUCUGUUACUAAAUGUGAUCAGGUUUUUUCCUGUUCUUUCAGACAGGUCAGAAUUUCAGGAGAUUCCUUUCAGGAUGGAGCAUAGCCCUUAUCUUCAUCUGGGCAUCAGUGUUCAGGCCUGGUGCCCCUCCAGGCAUGACUUCAUCCCCAGCUCAGCAUGCCUAGGCAUCUGUCCAUGAUGUCAGCCCUUAAGUCCCCCAGUAUUAGUGCCUGGCCUCCUUUAAUCCAAACCCCACCCAAAAUGUAGCCCGGAACUCACCCCUCAUGUGCUGUAGGAGUAGCUGCUAUCUAUCACACUGACUGUGAUCUCACCAACCUUGCCGUACAAAUUACUGUCUCACCUCCAGUACCCCUUCCUGUUGGGAUCUUUGUAGCAUCCCUUGAGCCUCUCCUUCCAGCCUUGUUGGUUCUUUAAUAAACCAAAAGACUGCA
Molecule: long non-coding RNA, 989 nt
Organism: Numida meleagris (helmeted guineafowl)
Lineage: Eukaryota; Metazoa; Chordata; Aves; Galliformes; Numididae
Exons: 2
Source: RefSeq, a predicted model, not a curated record